GGGGGCGUAGCUCAGUUUGGGAGAGCACCGGCUUUGCAAGCCGGGGGUCGGCGGUUCGAUCCCGCUCGCCUCCACCA
This 77-nucleotide transfer RNA is filed under the name Pseudomonadota bacterium. RNAcentral's name for it is "tRNA-Ala". It matches the Rfam family "tRNA". Rfam says of the family: Transfer RNA (tRNA) molecules are approximately 80 nucleotides in length. Lineage: Bacteria; Pseudomonadati; Pseudomonadota. RNAcentral also lists the same sequence under 6 other names. The record is from RNAcentral.